RNAcentral lists this ribosomal RNA (272 nucleotides) under Nitrososphaerota archaeon. RNAcentral's name for it is "Thaumarchaeota archaeon (marine metagenome) partial 23S ribosomal RNA". It matches the Rfam family "Archaeal large subunit ribosomal RNA", at positions 2668 to 2932 of the family's 2987-position model. Lineage: Archaea; Thermoproteati; Nitrososphaerota. The record is from RNAcentral.
CAUGAGCUGGGUUUAGACCGUCGUGAGACAGGUCGGUCUCUGCCUGAUGGAAGCGCGGCUGUCUGAGGGGAAGUUGCUCUUAGUACGAGAGGAACAGAGCAACGUGGCCACUGGUCUACCGGUUGUCUGAUAAGGCAGGCCGGGCAGCUAAGCCGUUUGGAUUAAGUGCUGAAAGCAUCUAAGCACGAAACCCAUCCCGAGACAAGACAGCCUUUCGUAAGAUGAAGGUUCGCAGAAGAAGACUGCGUUGAUAGGAUGGAUGUGUAGAUCAC